This 557-nucleotide ribosomal RNA is filed under the name Sirenophila gintarasii. RNAcentral describes it as "eukaryotic LSU rRNA". Lineage: Eukaryota; Fungi; Ascomycota; Lecanoromycetes; Teloschistales; Teloschistaceae. The record is from RNAcentral.
CGGAAGGAUCAUUAUUGAGAGGAAGGUUUCCACGCCUUCGCGGUGCAUCUGCGCCCGACUCUUCACCCUCGUGUGUACCGACCAUCGUUGCUUUGGCGGGUAUGAAGGCUUGAUUCGCCCUCUAUUGAAUCCCGCCGAAGACCCUUUUUCAACCCCUCAUGUCGGUGCAGUCUGAGUCUUCUAAGCAAUCAAAUAAAAAACUUUCAACAACGGAUCUCUUGGUUCUGGCAUCGAUGAAGAACGCAGCGAAAUGCGAUAAGUAAUGUGAAUUGCAGAAUUCAGUGAAUCAUCGAAUCUUUGAACGCCCAUUGCGCCCCUUGGUAUUCCGAGGGGCAUGCCUGUUCGAGCGUCAUUGCAACCCUCAAGCUCAGCUUGGUAUUGAGUCAUGCGACGCCCUGUAGAGGGGCUCGCAGACUCGGAAAUUAGUGGCAGUCCAGGUAGACUUCAAGCGCAGUAACUCCCUCGCUUUGGAAGCGUCUUAUCCGGGACUUCGCCGAGAAACCCCCUAUAUAUACUCAAUGAUUGACCUCGGAUCAGSCAGGSAYACCCGCUGAACU